RNAcentral lists this ribosomal RNA (492 nucleotides) under uncultured bacterium. RNAcentral's name for it is "partial 16S ribosomal RNA". It matches the Rfam family "Bacterial small subunit ribosomal RNA", at positions 29 to 507 of the family's 1533-position model. The record is from RNAcentral.
AGUGAACGCUGGCGGUAGGCCUAACACAUGCAAGUCGAACGGCAGCACAGUAAGAGCUUGCUCUUACGGGUGGCGAGUGGCGGACGGGUGAGGAAUACAUCGGAAUCUACUUUUUCGUGGGGGAUAACGUAGGGAAACUUACGCUAAUACCGCAUACGACCUACGGGUGAAAGCAAGGGAUCUUCGGACCUUGCGCGAUUGAAUGAGCCGAUGUCGGAUUAGCUAGUUGGCGUGGUAAAGGCCCACCAAGGCAACGAUCCGUAGCUGGUCUGAGAGGAUGAUCAGCCACACUGGAACUGAGACACGGUCCAGACUCCUACGGGAGGCAGCAGUGGGGAAUAUUGGACAAUGGGCGCAAGCCUGAUCCAGCCAUACCGCGUGGGUGAAGAAGGCCUUCGGGUUGUAAAGCCCUUUUGUUGGGAAAGAAAAGCAGCAGGUUAAUACCCCGCUGUUCUGACGGUACCCAAAGAAUAAGCACCGGCUAACUUCGUG